UGGGGAAUUUUGGACAAUGGGCGCAAGCCUGAUCCAGCAAUGCCGCGUGCAGGAUGAAGGCCUUCGGGUUGUAAACUGCUUUUGUACGGAACGAAAAGGCUCUGGUUAAUACCUGGAGCAUAUGACGGUACCGUAAGAAUAAGCACCGGCUAACUACGUGCCAGCAGCCGCGGUAAUACGUAGGGUGCGAGCGUUAAUCGGAAUUACUGGGCGUAAAGCGUGCGCAGGCGGUUUUGUAAGACAGAGGUGAAAUCCCCGGGCUCAACCUGGGAACUGCCUUUGUGACUGCAAGGCUGGAGUGCGGCAGAGGGGGAUGGAAUUCCGCGUGUAGCAGUGAAAUGCGUAGAUAUGCGGAGGAACACC
This 363-nucleotide ribosomal RNA is filed under the name uncultured bacterium. RNAcentral describes it as "partial 16S ribosomal RNA". It matches the Rfam family "Bacterial small subunit ribosomal RNA", at positions 355 to 710 of the family's 1533-position model. The record is from RNAcentral.